ACAAAGAAUUUCCUCAGCUCAAUGACAUCUGCCUUCCUGUUGUAAUAUCUUCCACUCUUGUAAGUUCCCCUCCUGGUUUCUAUUAAAGUCUUGCCUAAUUUAAAUUCAAUUAACAGAUGAUCACUUUUGCCCAAAGAGCAAUGAAAAUUUAUCCGCUCAAUGAUGUCAAGUUCAUUGGUAAACAGUAGAUCGCACCUUGGUGCCUCCUCAUCCCCAUUAAAUCUGGUGUUUUCCCCAAUCCACUGGGUCAUAGUGUUAGACAUUACUAAGUUUAGCUGUGCAUUUCCCCAUCAUUCUUCUUCCUCUUCUGCAGUCCAUUCUUUCCAGCACACUUCUUUGCAGUUAAAGUCUCCCAUAAGUGUUAUAUUAUUACUCUCAAUAUUUUCUUUAGACAGUUACUAGGAUCUCUUAACAUUAUUUUGUAGUCCUCCUGAUUCCAUGCAUUGGUUUUUGGUGGUACAUGUGCUGCUGCAAAAUCUCUUUCCUUCUUUCUUCAUUUUCAUGCUAACUGCUCUUCUGAUCUUGCUAACUGCAUGCCUCCCCUCCUUCCACGGCCUCGCCCCACAAGACUUUCUUCUUUCUCUCACCCCUAUUCUGUCCACCUCUCUAAUGCAAGAGCAGAAAAUACCCCAGAAAACACACUGGAAAAUACUCUAGGCUUCUCAAAUGCCCCAGAACACACCCCAGGCUUAGCAAACCUCCCAGAACCCACCCCAACUAACACCCCAGCCAGUCAGCCGAGCCCCAGCACCCGCCAGUCACCCCCCCUAGCCGUCCUCCUCACCCGGCGCACGACGCGAAAAAUACUGAACGAAAAACAACUGGCGGAGACGAUCCAACGCGAACUGAACAAGACCUAUGGGGAAGGAGUCGUCAGAAUCAUGUUUUCCAGUGAUCCUGAAAGCCACGCUUUCAGGAUCACCUUGACCCCUUGGCAUUGAGUGAUAAUGAGCUCUUUUGGGAUUGCCUUGACCCCUUGGCAUUGAGUGAUAAUGAGCUCAUGCUCAAAUAUCACUUCCCUCGGCAGACCUAAUCCUCUUGUGAUUUGGUAAUUACCAAUUUACACCCAGGUUUUGCUGUCCCUGAGAUUGUUUGCCAGUGGGUCCUUCCAAAAUGUCAUUGGAGACACUGCAGACCUACGCAAGCGUCAGCAGAGUCUUUGAGUGUGUGUGCACCGAGUUGAGUGAUAAGUCAGUGCAGGAAAUCAAGAUGCCUCCAACACACCUUGAUCAAAGGAGAACUGCACAACAGUUCUUCAGGAUCAAAAAUUUCCCAAGGGUUACUGGGGCCAUUGAUGGCACCCACAUUGCCAUCAAGGCCCCAGGUGUGGACGAGGCCCUUUACUUUAACCAGAAAAGGUAUCACUCCCUCUCAACAUCCAACUUGUUUGUGAUGCGAAUGGAGUGAUCCUCAGCUACUGCUCCAGACUCCCAGGUGCCUGCACUCUUACGGAGGUAGCUUGCAGUACAGACCCAUCAAGUGUGUGAAAAUAAUUAAUGCUUGCCUGCUCCUACACAACCGCUGCAUGAAGUUCCUGAUGACCUACCACCUCUUGAGGAUGAAGCAGUGCCCCAUGCUGGUGCCGACCCUGCUGUGCUGCAGAGGGGUCUACGUGCUCCAGGCAGAAUUGUGCAGCAAGAAAUCAUACAAAACUUCUUCCAGCAAUGAAGGUAUGGCAGUCCUGUAAAUGCUGUGUGAGACCACAUCCACAGCACGACCACCUCCACAGCAGUGUAUGUUGUCUCAUCUGGAGGUCACCCACCUGCAUGGAUAUGAAUGUUGCAAUUAUCAGCCACUUUGAAGUUCACAUGUAAAGCCAAAUGAAAUUGGUGUAAAUCAUGAAUGUAUUAGAGCAUAUUGAUGUUAUUUAGCACUGCAGUGGUCACUGUCUCAGACCUGACUGCCAGAGGUACUGUACAUACUCCUAUUUAUAAUCCAUUGCUUAGUUGGUUCUUGUAUGUUUAUUGACUAUAUGGGUAAAUUGUGUAACAGCACCAACAAUGAAAUACAACAAGUACACGAGCAAACUUUUUAAAUAAUUGCCAGGGUUUUAAGCACUGCUAACAGUCAUCUAACCUAACUAACCUAACCAUAACCUAACCUCAACAAAGUAAAACCAAUAUUCAAGAAAUGAAAUUCAUUACAGCAGUUUGGGUCCCAAAGGUUGUGCAGAAAAACUUUUUUUUUUGUCCCAAUAUGCAACAAAGUCAUACAGAGGAAGUUGUUCACAUUACUCAAAACAGUGUCCAGCAAUGCCCAAAACAUUAGUCAAUUAAAUUCCAUAAGCAAUUAGGUCAAGACAAAAUAUUAAGCAAAUAUGGUAGUGUGGGUAAAUUUUUACUCUAUGUUCAUCUUUUCCACAUGAAACUAUUUGCUUUUUGUCAUUUUUGGCAUACACUGAAUUAGUAUGUUAAUCAAAUCUGAUGUAACAUAACCAAAGUAAUCUAACAAAACCAAAGACAAACCUGAAAUAGCUAAAAUAACCUUGCUUCUCUAAAAAUAUGUACAUGUAGCCGUUUAACAAUUGCUGUCAUCAUUACAAUUAAUUUGCAGUUGGUAUAUGUGGGGUUCAAAUUAUUCUGGAAUGACAAACUGUAUCUGAUGAGAAGGGUAGGAAAGGCCAUGUUGAGACUGGUGAAGGAGUAAAAGAAUACCCUACUGUGUGUGUGUGCUGGAACCAUAAGCCAUGAUUUCACUUACUUGUAGCAGGACAUCACUCCAUUUUUGGUAAUAUCACCCAUCCAUAUAGCCCUCUAUCCCUCUUCUGUCUCAACUGCACCAUGCUAGGUCUGCAACUAUGCCAAUGAAGAUGUGAUAAGAAUAACCAAUUAACUCACCAGUGCC
This is an RNA transcript of Scylla paramamosain (green mud crab), 2844 nucleotides long. It is a transcript of the gene named putative nuclease HARBI1, with no coding region annotated. Lineage: Eukaryota; Metazoa; Arthropoda; Malacostraca; Decapoda; Portunidae. The record is from RefSeq and is a predicted model, not a curated record. The transcript has 6 exons.